This 5127-nucleotide long non-coding RNA is filed under the name Zostera marina. RNAcentral's name for it is "long non-coding RNA (ZMAR_LNC000572)". The record is from RNAcentral. Lineage: Eukaryota; Viridiplantae; Streptophyta; Magnoliopsida; Alismatales; Zosteraceae.
CCCAUAAAAGAUUUUUUUUUACUCAAAACCGUUACAGAUACCUCACCUCUCCCUGAUACUCAAACUUCUCACUGGAUGCCUCCUCGGAAGCCUUUUCGAAACUACCAACGCAUCAAGCCGGUUUCCACUUCACCCCUAUAUCACACCAUAAACUAGAAGUCGCAGAAAGAAAUGAGUUUUUAUUUUUUAAUACAGGACGUACCGGGGGUUUUGGGAAUGAAUGUUCUUAAUGUUCUUCAGGUUGAAUGGAGGACAGUGACGGAUAUUUUUAAACGCGGUGAAAGUCGAAAACACAGACAGUAGACGGAAGCUCGUCCGGAGAACAGUAGACGGGGGGGGAUGUCGGAAAUAUCGCCGAUCGCUAAAAAAAUCGUUCUUGGGAGGGAAGAGUAGGGAACGAAGAGGGUUUUGUGGUAGAACAGCUACUAGGUAAGCUACUUACUAGCUAGUACAGAGAUACUAGUACCUUCCAUGUCAGUAGGAUAUUUUCCAUUUUUUUAUCCUAUAGGUAACAUGCAACCGGGUAUUGGUUUAUCAGGUUGCUACCAAAAAAAUUGAAGGUUCAUGUUCUCUUAUAAAACGAACGGCGGUAAUGGAAGAGGUUCUCAUAAGAACUCUUCUUACCUAAUUUAUAAAAUAUUAUAUUGUAUUAAUAUAUUAAACAUGAAGAUGGUUACGUGGAAGAAAUAUCUAUAAGAUUAUUAUGCCGAAAUCCAGGGUUAAAACAACAAGUUACAAUAAACAUGAACUAAGGACCUAAGCAUAAUAAAAAUAAAUAAAAGGUUAAUACAAAACCUAUUAAAUUAACUUAUAAAAGGACUGGCUUAUAAAUAUCCAAGUGUUUUUCAAUAGUUGAAAACACAAGGAUAGUUGGUUAAAUAAAACAAGUUAAAUAAGGACUUGGUUAUCAUUUAUGGAUAACUCAUGUGUGCUUGCAGAAAUAUCCCAGAAAGCAGAUUGGGCUCAUGAAAAGGCCACAGCAUGAAGCCGGCCCAGAAAUAGAUUUUAGUUAAUAUUAGUUUUAGUUAAUGUUAACUAACUGUUGAGAGAUUAGUCAGUUAAUUAUUCAUUAAUCAAAUGUAUAAGUAUAACUUGAUAAACAGAUAAUAUUAUUCAAUACAAGGUUAAUCAUCAUUUGUGAUUAACUAAACCACUCUCUCUCAACUCUUCUUCUUAGUGACAGUUUUAGUAGUUAGUUGCCCCUUUUUCAUACAGGCGGAAAACCCUAGCUUCUGAAUGGCAACCCCAUUACAUUUCUCUCAUCCCAGGUAUGAGGAAUCAUCUGCAUUGUCACCAGCGGCACCUACUAUGCAGGAAAAUAAUAUGGUAUCAGCCGUCAAUCGUCCUGGCGCUCCUCCGGUCAACCAGCCAGCCAUUUCCGCAAUGCUNNNNNNNNNNNNNNNNNNNNNNNNNNNNNNNNNNNNNNNNNNNNNNNNNNNNNNNNNNNNNNNNNNNNNNNNNNNNNNNNNNNNNNNNNNNNNNNNNNNNGGCAAAUCUAGCCGCAACUCUUCCUGCUGUACAACCGCCUAAUCCGAUAGUGACUCCAGCAGCAUCUCGCGAAUCCUCUUCUGGGUCGACAGCAAAAUCUCGACCAAGCAAUUAUCAAGAAGGUUUGUACCAAGGUUCCUUUUUUAAAAGGCACAAAUUGGAAAGGUACAUCUCUCCUUUACAAAAUCCAGAAUCACCAUUUUUUUUAACCUCCGGUGAUCACCCGGGGGCAGUAUUAGUUCCAGAUAGAUUAGUUGGUGAAUCCAACUAUAUAACUUGGUCCAAUGGGAUGAAAGUCUCAUUGGUUUCAAGAAGAAAGGAUGCUUUCAUUACUGGACAGAUUACAAUGCCCACAGAUUUUGCUAGUAGGGAAUAUAACAUAUGGAAGAUAGUUAAUGGAUUAGUUCUUGCAUGGUUGUUAAAUUCAGUAUCUCCCCAAAUACAAUCUACUAUCAUGUAUACCAAUGAUGCCCAUCAAGUAUGGUUAGAUCUAGAGAAUAGAUAUAAACAAGGGAAUGCUCCCAAGAUAAAUCAAAUUAAAUACGAACUAUGUUGUCUACAACAAGGAUCAUUGCCUUCAUCUGAAUUUUAUGACAAAUUCAGAUCCAUUUGGGAUCAAUUGGUACAGAUUGAUGAAAUUAAGGAAAAAUUUUGUAUGUCAUGCAAGAAACUCUACCAAGAAAAAGAAGAGAAUGAUAUGAUUCAUCAGUUCUUGUUAGGACUGAAUGAAAACUUUUUUAAUCUUAGAACCCAAAUUCUUUCAUUAGAAAAAUUACCAAACAUGAAUAAGGUUCUAGGAUUAGUUAUUCAAGAGGAAAAACAGAGAUGUAAAUUCAGAGAACACACCGAUGAGAAAAAUACUGAAUCUGCCUUUUAUGUAAAAGAUAAGAAUCCAGUAGAAGGAACAAAGGGUAUGUACUCUAAAAAUGGAAAGAAACUCGAUACUAGAUUCUACUGUGAUAACUGUAAGUAUUAUGGUCAUACAAGGGAAAAGUGUUAUCAUUUAGUAGGCAAACCAGGAAAAUAAAAAUUUCAAAAGAAAAUUCAACCAAAGAAGAACCAGGGCAGUAAUACCACUGUUUCAGAAUGUGCAAAUCUAGCAACUACCUCCAGUAGUCAACAACUAGUGCUAAGUCAAGAAGAGAUCCAAUUAUUCAAGGAACUUAUCUCUUCAACAAAGUCAAACACUGGUAAUAAUUUUUCUUUUUCUUUCAAUACAAAUAAUUAUAUUGAUAAAUGGAUAGUAGAUACCGGAGCAUCACAACACAUGACUGGUAAUUUACAUCUAUUCACCAACCCAUUAGUUAAAGAAUAUAACCAUUUUGUGACUAUACCUAGUGGCAAAAUAUUGAUGGUUCAAGGAAUGGGUUGUAUAAAAAUAUCUGAAAAUCUGAUUUUAAAAAAUGUGUUGUAUAUUCCUGAAUUUAAGGUUAAUCUAAUAGCUAUAAGCAAGUUAACCUUAGACAAUGACAUUAAAGUAAUAUUUAAUGAUCAUUGUUUUCAAUUUCAGGAAAACAAAUCCGAGAAAGUGAUUGGCAAGGGUGAGUCUACGGAUGGACUAUAUUUUUUCACCCCUCAUCAUUUUUUAGCAAAUUCAGCCAUUGACUUCAAAACUUGGCAUCAAAGAUUGGGACACAUUUCUUCUGAAAAAAUGAAGACAUUAGUUUCUCAAUACAAAAUUAGAUACAAAAAAACAGAUUGUAAUAAUGAUAGUUCAGAUUGUAAUAAGAACAAAAAAAUUCCAGAUUGUAGGAAUGAGAUUGUUGAUAAAAAUUCAGUUUUCAAUAAAAUAAAUUCGAUUCAAUAUGAUUGUAGAAUAUGUCCAUUAGCCAAGCAAGCUAAACUCAAAUAUGCAAUUAGUAGUUCCAAAUCUGAAAAUAUUUUUGAUUUAAUCUACAUAGAUAUAUGGGGAAAAUUUCCCAUAAUGACCCAUGAUGGGUUUAAUUAUUUCUUAACUAUUGUGGAAGAUCUAAGUAGAGGUACUUGGAUAUAUCUAAUUAAAAACAAAUCGAUGGCAAUAGAAUGUAUUGAGAAGUUUUACAAAAUGGUUAAAACACAGUUCAAAACCAAAAUCAAAACUAUUAGAAGUGAUAAUGGGGGAGAAUUCACUUCUAACAUUUUUAAAAAAAUGACUGAAAAACAUGGAAUUGUUCAACAAUUCUCAUGCCCCUAUACACCUGCCCAAAAUGCAAGGGUAGAAAGAAAACAUAGGCAUCUCUUGAACAUUGCAAGAGCACUACAUUUUCAAGGAAAUAUUCCAUUGGAAUAUUGGGGGGAGUGCAUCCUAACAGCAGCCCAUUUAAUUAAUAGAAUUCCCUCAAGACCUUAGAAAACAAAACACCUUAUGAAAUAAUUCAUAAAAAAAUACCAAAUUACGAAAAUUUGAAAUCAUUUGGUUGCCUAUGCUAUGCCUCAGUCACACAAAUGGAAAACAAGUUUUCACCAAAAACUUGUCAAGGGAUUUUUAUGGGAUAUCCCAAAGGUAUUAAAGGAUAUCUUAUAUUAAGAGUUUCAGAUAGAAAAUUCAUUGUCUCUAGGGAUGUCUCAUUUAGAGAGUCAAUAUUCCCAUUCAAAGAUGAUCUUAAUCUAGAAGAAACACAAAAAGAAAAUAAAUUUCAAAAUUGCUAUAAUAAUAUUUUUUUAUAUCAUGAUGAUGUAAAUAAGUCAUGGUAUGACUAUAAAAGGCAUCAUCAAAACAAAAAUAAAAAAGAAACCAGUGUUCUGGAAAUAAGAUCAGGGAAUGAUGAUCAUUACAUUCUGGAAAAUAAUUCAGAAAAUAGUUCAAAAAAUGAUCAAACAAACCCAAAACAAUCUGAAAAAUAUAACUCACAAGUUCAUAUGUCUAAACAUAUGAAAAAUAUCAGUGUGAGCAAAAAAAAAACAAUAAAUGUAUUGAGUUAAACCACAAUUCACAGAAUACCAGAAAUUCUGGAAAUACUGCCCAAAACUCAGAAUACAGAUCAAAAAAUGAUCAAAUGAAUCCAGGACAGUAUGAAUUAUAUGAUUCACUAAUUCAUACACCUAGUCAUGAUUCUGUUGAGUUAAAUCAUAACUCACAAAAUAUCAAAAAUUCUGAAUAUAAUAAAAAAAAUUCAGUAAAUGUUCAGAAUGAUCAAACUUCCCUCUAUUCUGAAAAUUUUCAGAAUGAUGACAUAAGAUCAUCAGAUAUAGGACUAAUUCAUACACCUAGUCAUGAUUCUGUUGAGUUAAAUCACAACUCACAAAACAUCAAAAAUUCUGAACAUAAUGGAAAAAAUUCAGCAAAUGUUCAGAAUGAUCAAACUUUCCUCUAUUCUGAAAAUGUUCAGAAUGAUGACAUAAGAUCAUCAGAUACAGGAACAUCAAUAGAAAAACAGAACAAUACACCUGAAAUUACAGUAGACGGGGGGAUGUCGGAAAUAUCGCCGAUCGCUAAAAAAAUCGUUCUUGGGAGGGAAGAGUAGGGAACGAAGAGGGUUUUGUGGUAGAACAGCUACUAGGUAAGCUACUUACUAGCUAGUACAGAGAUACUAGUACCUUCCAUGUCAGUAGGAUAUUUUCCAUUUUUUUAUCCUAUAGGUAACAUGCAACCGGGUAUUGGUUUAUCAGGUUGCUACCAAAAAAAUCGAAGGUUCAGGUUCUCUUAUAAAACGAACGGCG